AGAAUGAACGUUGGCGGCGUGGAUUAGGCAUGCAAGUCGCGCGAGAAAUUUCCUUCGGGGAAUGGAAAGCGGCGGAAGGGAGAGGACAAGGUAGAAAUCUACCCUCGGGACGGGGAUAGCGGCGGGAAACUGCCGGUAAUACCCGAUAACAUCUACGGAUCAAAUGGUGUGAUUCCGCCUGAGGAUGAGUCUACUUCCUAUUAGCUAGUUGGCGGGGUAAUAGCCCACCAAGGCAACGAUGGGUAGCGGGUGUGAGAGCACGAUCCGCCUCACUGGGACUGAGACACUGCCCAGACACCUACGGGUGGCUGCAGUCGAGAAUCUUCGGCAAUGGGCGCAAGCCUGACCGAGCGACGCCGCGUGCGGGAUGAAGGCCUUUGGGUGUAAACCGCUGUCGUAGGGAACAAAGUUUAUGGGGUUCUCCCUGUAAUUGAGUGAUCCUAGGAGGAAGGACGGGCUAAGUUCGUGCCAGCAGCCGC
Molecule: ribosomal RNA, 479 nt
Filed under: uncultured bacterium
Lineage: Bacteria
Description: SSU rRNA
Rfam family: Bacterial small subunit ribosomal RNA
Source: RNAcentral